Molecule: ribosomal RNA, 540 nt
Filed under: uncultured Geobacteraceae bacterium
Lineage: Bacteria; Pseudomonadati; Thermodesulfobacteriota; Desulfuromonadia; Geobacterales; Geobacteraceae
Description: bacterial SSU rRNA
Rfam family: Bacterial small subunit ribosomal RNA
Source: RNAcentral
GAGUUUGAUCCUGGCUCAGAACGAACGCUGGCGGCGUGCCUAACACAUGCAAGUCGAACGUGAUCCASAGCUUGCUCUGGUGAAAGUGGCGCACGGGUGAGUAACGCGUGGAUCACCUACCCUGGUAUCCGGGAUAACAUUCCGAAAGGGGUGCUAAUACCGGAUAAGCCCACGGGCUCUUUGGAGCUUGCGGGAAAAGGUGGCCUCUAUUUAUAAGCUACUGUAUCAGGAUGGGUCCGCGUACCAUUAGCUAGUUGGCGGUGUAACGGACCACCAAGGCGACGAUGGUUAGCUGGUCUGAGAGGAUGAUCAGCCACACUGGAACUGAGACACGGUCCAGACUCCUACGGGAGGCAGCAGUGGGGAAUUUUGCGCAAUGGGGGAAACCCUGACGCAGCAACGCCGCGUGAGUGAUGAAGGCCUUUGGGUCGUAAAGCUCUGUCAGAGGGGAAGAAAUGAUAUAGUGCUAAUACCACUUUAUCUUGACGGUACCCUCAAAGGAAGCACCGGCUAACUCCGUGCCAGCAGCCGCGGUAAUAC